Parus major (Great Tit) is the source of this 843-nucleotide long non-coding RNA. RefSeq lists it as uncharacterized. Lineage: Eukaryota; Metazoa; Chordata; Aves; Passeriformes; Paridae. The record is from RefSeq and is a predicted model, not a curated record. The transcript is spliced from 3 exons.
GCGAGAGGAGGGGACGCGGCCCCUGGCACAGGCCCUGCCGGGACAGACGCUGUCCUCUCCACACCAGAGCCCAGCCAGCUGCCGGGAAGGAGCGUUAAAGAACACGGAGUGCAGAGGGCAGGGGAUGUGCUGGGCUCCCCUCCCAGGCUGAAGUUGUCCAUCCAGCCAAACAGGUCAUGAUGCAGGUCUCAGUGACACCCAGCCAUACAGCAUGGAGGACUCUAGCUUCCUCUCCCCCAUCAGCUCCCAAGGCCCAUCUGGAGGAAUCAUGAGGGGCGUUCUCACAUCCUGCUCCCUGAAGAAGCCGGUCCUGCUCGCUGAGCGCUCACCAACGUCACGCCAAGGGAUGACGCAAGCCAUGACUGCUGUCCAGGUCCAAAGGUACAUCAGCACAGUGACUCUGCUCAGUGUUACAUCACAUUGCUGAAGUGAGCACCAGGAAUUACACAAACAUAAGGAGACCUUGGACUCCCUUCAGGUUUUCACCCAACUUCUUCAAACUCCUACUGCUUGCACUGAAGGUCUGUGGAGAUGAAGGACAUAAUCACAGAAUCUGUUGAGCUGGAAGGGACCCACAAGGAUUGUCAAGUCCAGCUCCUGGCCCUGCACAGAACCAUCCCCAAGAGUCACACCAUGAGAACGGACAAGUCUUUCCUUAUCCCUAGGUUUGGGCAUAUGGGUAACAAUAAAGUACCUAAAUUUUGUUCUGUCUGUUAUCCAGAAGUGCUGUGUGUUUCAUUGAGCAGUAAUGGAAGCACGCAAACACACAGCCCACACAGGGAAAAACUGGCCUGGAAAAGUGGCAGGAGGGGAAGAACUUGAUGGUUUUAAUUCAAUUUGUGU